RNAcentral lists this transfer RNA (47 nucleotides) under Odinella nutrix. Its description in RNAcentral is "partial tRNA-Ala". The record is from RNAcentral. Lineage: Eukaryota; Metazoa; Echinodermata; Asteroidea; Brisingida; Odinellidae.
AAUAUUAUCCUGCACAUAAAAAAUAAAGGUUUAAACCUUUAAUCCAC